This 363-nucleotide ribosomal RNA is filed under the name uncultured eukaryote. Its description in RNAcentral is "partial 18S ribosomal RNA". It matches the Rfam family "Eukaryotic small subunit ribosomal RNA", at positions 592 to 976 of the family's 1831-position model. The record is from RNAcentral.
CAAUAGCGUAUACUAAUGUUGUUGCAGUUAAAAAGCUCGUAGUUGAACUUCUGGUAGGAGUGUCCCGGCCUUUUUGUUUUUACAAAUUGUAUGCUGUGUGACAUCUCUGGCCAUCCUUCUUCUUUGUUUAAAGAAGAUCUUUCACUGUAAAAAAAUUAGGGUGUUCAAAGCAAAAGUUUCUUUGGAAUAUAUUAGUAUGGGAUGAUAAGAUAGGCUCUAGAUGCUAUUUUGUUGGUUUGCACAUUUAGAGAAUGAUUAACAGGGACAGUUGGGGGUAUUCGUAUUCACAUGUCAGAGGUGAAAUUCUUGGAUUUUGGAAAGACGAACUACUGCGAAAGCAUUUACCAAGGAUGUUUUCAUUAA